RNAcentral lists this ribosomal RNA (953 nucleotides) under uncultured bacterium. RNAcentral describes it as "bacterial SSU rRNA". It matches the Rfam family "Bacterial small subunit ribosomal RNA", at positions 520 to 1479 of the family's 1533-position model. The record is from RNAcentral.
GGUAGACAAGGGGAGCGUGUCGGAUUAUUGGGUCAAGGGUGCGUAGGCGGCGCGUUAAGUCAGUGGUGAAAUCCCGCAGCUCAACUGCGGAACUGUCAUUGAUACUGGCGCACUUGAGUACGGACGAGGUAGGCGGAAUUUAUGGUCGUAGCGGUGAAAUGCAUAGAUACCAUAAAGAACACCGAGUAGCGAAGGCAGCUUACUAUACCGUAACUGACGCUCAGGCACGAAAGCGUGGGGAGCGAACAGGAUUAUAUACCCUGGUUAGCUCCACGCCGUAAACGAUGAUCACUCGACUGUGUGCAAUACACCGCUACGCGUCCAACGCGAAAGCGUUAAGUGAUCCACCUGGGGAGUACGUUCGGCAACAAUGAAACUCAUAGGAAUUGACGGGGGUCCUGCACAACCGUGUGGACCUUGUGGUUUAAUUCGAUGAUACGCGAGGAACCUUAGCUGGGCUCGGAAUGGUACCGGCAUCUUUCAGAAAUGUAUGAGUCUUCGGACCGGGAUCAAAGCUGCUGCAUGGGUGUGGUCAGCUCGUGCCGUGAGGUGUUGGGAUAAGUCCCGCAAUAGAGCGCAACCCUUAUCUUUAGUUGCCAGCAACAUUAUGGUGGGGACUCUAAAGAGACUGCCUGCGCAAGCAGAGAGGCAGGAGGGGACGACGUCAAGUCAUCAUGGCCCUUACGCCCAGGGCUACACACGUGCUACAAUGGUGCAUACAGAGGGUCGCGACACAGUGAUGUGAAGCCAAUCUCACAAAGUGCAUCUCAGUUCAGGAUUGAGGUCUGCAACUCGACCUCAUGACAGUUGGAAUCGCUAGUACAUCGCAUAUCAGCACAUGAUGCGGUGAAUACGUUCCCGGACCAUUGUACACACCGCCCGUCCAGACCAUGGGAGUUGGGAGGACCUGAAGAUGUAUACCGCAGGAUGCAGGCAGGAUCAGCCAGAACGGG